RNAcentral lists this long non-coding RNA (841 nucleotides) under Physcomitrium patens. RNAcentral's name for it is "long non-coding RNA (PPAT_LNC012570)". Lineage: Eukaryota; Viridiplantae; Streptophyta; Bryopsida; Funariales; Funariaceae. The record is from RNAcentral.
GUUGGGGGAGGAGCUCCUCCCACUAGAGGGGAGGAGCCCACUGGAGGAGGUGUUGCAUCUUGAGGAGGUCCCGCUACAUCUGGAGGAGGUGUUGCUGCUUGAGUAGGUCCUGCUACAACCGGAGGAGGUGUUGCUGCUUGAGGAGGUUCUGUUACAACUGGAGGAGGUGUUGCGGCUUGAGUAGGUCCUGCUACAACCGGAGGAGGUGUUGCUGCUUGAGGAGGUUCUGUUACAACUGGAGGAGGUGUUGCGACUUGAGGAGGUUCAACUGUCGCUGGAGGCACCGCUAUCAAUUACAGUGCAUAAGAAGAACUCAGUACCACUUCGAAUUAUUCUUCAAGCAGAGUGGCACAAGGUCCAUACUAAGCAAAGAGUUCUCUCACAGGAAUAUCCAUCAAAACCUUCAUCACAAUAUCAAUUAAAACCUUGCACGAUGAUUGCCACGUAUUUGUGCGAUUAACCAAAGACUGGACCCGGUACUGAAUGUCAUUCAUAUGGUAAUUUCACAAAUGGGUUGCUUUCAGCUGUGCGUUGCCUGUGGUGAAGAAAUAAUCACAAGUACGUAGCCUGAAUCGCUGCAGAAACUCUCCUAAUAUGUUGAAAUCAAAGUUAUGGGACAAAGUUUGUGUGAACGAUCCAUACAAGGAGCAGUCGACUGCAGUAGCCCCCGACGUCCGCCAACAGCCACAGCUCUAUCUCCGAUCACUGUAAACAUUGGAGAGAAGAAAAAUCUCUUAGUAAAGUUUAGAGUGCAAAUCGUAAUGUAAUUAGCUACUCCAAAGCACAAUGUGUCUGAUUUUCUUUGUGAGUUGAUCUUCAUGGUGACUGAUAGAGCUCAUUG